This 894-nucleotide long non-coding RNA is filed under the name Gallus gallus (chicken). The record is from RNAcentral. Lineage: Eukaryota; Metazoa; Chordata; Aves; Galliformes; Phasianidae.
UCUAGAACAUGGUGAUGAUGGGAUGCUCAUAAAAGUUUGGGGAAAAGCCACAGAUCUUCAGGAGAGUGUAGCUUCUUUGCAUGUGAAAGAGCUGCUCUGUCCUCAGAGGGUGCCUCUUUUUAAUGAAGUGGUGGACUCAGCUCCUGUGGGCAAAUCAUCAUUGAUAAGGAGAGACAAAGAGACACACCGUAUGUGAAUUUUCAACCGUCUUCACAGAAAAGAACUUCCAUCAAUACCUUAAACAGAAGUUGACUGGAAGGAAGCCACAGCAGUAUGUUAAGAGCUUUCACUGGGGCAGGUCUGAAAGACACAACAAAAAUGUUUCAUUUGGAAAAUACCAUGAGGACCUGCUGUAGGACUGCCAAAGUAAACCGUUUCAUUCUGGAGGAGGUCGAAGUGAAACAUCUGUCAGUCUAGUCAUCUUUGUGUCCUUCCACUGAAAAAUGGAGCCGAGGGGAAGGUACAGUUCAGCAAGAAAAGAAAAGGAAAUUCUCUCCCUUCUCUUAACUGUUUCUGAAAACCGAGCCAUCAUACUGAAGAGCCUGACUCGCAGACUUAGUGGGAAUUAUGCCUAAGCCAGGUAGCAAGAAAAGUUCCAUGGAAGACAACUUCCAAGUCAAACAAUUUCUGUAGGUCUGGGUUUGAAAUCCUCACCCUGGAAGUCUUAACUUCAGCCUUAACAUCAGCUAACUCAGUUUCUGGUCUUAUUAAAACAACAUGAGAAGGAAAAAAACCAGGCACCUCCCUCUCACUGCUGCAAUUGCAGAGUAUAUGGGCUUAGGAUAUGGAGAUUUUCCUCUACUCCAGUUCACUGUCUAGUUCUGAGUUCAGUGGUGUGCAGUAGUUUGGCUUGUCUGAAGCCCUGCUUAGGUCAAAUGACUGAAAAAAACUGAC